Long non-coding RNA from Ictalurus punctatus (channel catfish), 409 nucleotides. The record is from Ensembl. NCBI's taxonomy places the organism in Eukaryota, Metazoa, Chordata, Actinopteri, Siluriformes, Ictaluridae.
CUAGGCUGUGUCCAAAUAUCCACACUACCCUACUGUCUAUACAGUAAGUGAAAAGAAGUAUGCCAAAGGAGUAGUAUGUCUGAUUCAGUAUUCAUAAAACAGUAGGGGAGAAAUACCUGGAUGUCCUACUCCUUCUGCCAAGAUUCUGUAGUAUGGAACUGUUGGGCACUGUGCUAUCCCAUAAGGCAAUGCGACUGGUGUGGAAGAGGUGUCUGAAUCAAAAAUGGCGGAAAACAGUGUGUUGGCGCUUUAAGUCAUCGAGCUGUUGGACAGCUGUUGAAACCUGCGUGGGGGGAACUUAGUCUACGAGCUUGCCCCUUGGAGCCUCACUGGCCAAACCAUUUUCAUGUCAGAGACAGAGUCUUCUUGCAGUCGUUUAUGUCAUCCUUUCCUUUCUGGACAGAGAAUA